Molecule: long non-coding RNA, 855 nt
Organism: Mustela lutreola (European mink)
Lineage: Eukaryota; Metazoa; Chordata; Mammalia; Carnivora; Mustelidae
Exons: 3
Source: RefSeq, a predicted model, not a curated record
UGUGGGAAAUCUCUUUGUGUAUUCAGAAGUGGUACUAACAUAGUUUUUCAUAGUUUGCCCUACUCUGUGUUUCAGCUAAACAUUCCAACCAUCAUUCCUCUACAGCGGACUUUUGAGAAACAUCAAUUAAUACAAAAGAAGGCAGAAAAAAAAAAAAAGGAAUGAUGAAUAGGAAAAGACACCACAGUGGAAAGUAAAAUAUGUGAAUUGUGGAAUGAAAGGUGGUACAGAAUGCUUUGGAAUAGAGCAGGCUACUUCAGAAUAAUUUAAAGUUGAUUCCAACAGAUUCUCGCCAUUUUGCCAUGGGUUGGUCUAGUGUCCAGUCCCACCAAAACUGGCCAAAUGAGAGACUGAUUGAUGAAGGCUAAGAUGAAACACGUCAAAGAUCCCAGAGUCCCAGGCUGUAUUUGAGCCAAAGGAAGAAGCUGAAUUUUGCCAAGAAGAUCCUAUUUCCACAUAAGGUCAUAUUCUGAUGUAUUGGGAGGUAGGACUUCAACCUAUGUUUUUGAAGGACACAAUUCAACCAAUAGCAUACUCUAAGAAAGAAGCCGGGUUUGGAGAUUAGGGAAAGCUCUUUGGAACUAGGCUGAGGACUAAAGGAUAUAUCUGCAUGAAGUCUCCUAGAAGAGCAUUACUGGCUGGGAGAAUGGUGAGUAAAAAGUCACGGGUCAGAAGAAGACCUUGGCUGUUGCUUCAGUGAAUAGAAAUAUGGCCUCUGUGGCUGGGCCACAGACCGCCAAAGAAGCAAAAAGGGGAGAUGAUACUGGGGAGCUGAGGGGUUGGAGAUAGGCCAGUACCUAAAGAAAAGGAGUUUGGAAUUUACUUCCACUGAUGGUAAGCUGUUGAAAAACACAA